AACCUUAUCAUUUAGAGGAAGGAGAAGUCGUAACAAGGUUUCCGUAGGUGAACCUGCGGAAGGAUCAUUGUCGAAACCUGCCGAGCAGAACGACCCGCGAACUCGUUUCACGCUCCGGGGGGCUGCGAGCCUCGCGGUCGCCCGACGUCGUCGGGGCGGGAGCUCCCGCUCCUCGCUCCGGCGGCCGAACAACGAACCCCGGCGCGGAAUGCGCCAAGGAAAUCGAACGAGAGAGCUUGCUCCCGUCGCCCCGGGAACGGAGCGCGCGUCGGGAGCGUCGCCUUCUUUCAUUAUCCAUAACGACUCUCGGCAACGGAUAUCUCGGCUCUCGCAUCGAUGAAGAACGUAGCGAAAUGCGAUACUUGGUGUGAAUUGCAGAAUCCCGUGAACCAUCGAGUCUUUGAACGCAAGUUGCGCCCCAAGCCUCUAGGCCGAGGGCACGUCUGCCUGGGCGUCACGCAUCGUCGCCCCCUCCACCCCGCGCCUCGGACGAGGCGGGGGGAUGCGUUAUCGGGGGCGGAUAUUGGCCUCCCGUGCGGUGCAUAUCCCGCGGUCGGCCCAAAUACGAGUGCUCGGCGACGGACGCCGCGACGUUCGGUGGUGGAAAAACCUCGAGCUCGCGUCGCGCGUGCGCGGUCGGCGUAAGGCUCUCGACCCUGAAGCGUCACGCAUCGCGACCCCAGGUCAGGCGGGAUCACCCGCUGAGUUUAAGCAUAUC
This 718-nucleotide unclassified non-coding RNA is filed under the name Litchi chinensis (lychee). Its description in RNAcentral is "partial contains small subunit ribosomal RNA, internal transcribed spacer 1, 5.8S ribosomal RNA, internal transcribed spacer 2, and large subunit ribosomal RNA". The stretch from base 302 to 457 matches the Rfam family "5.8S ribosomal RNA". The record is from RNAcentral. Lineage: Eukaryota; Viridiplantae; Streptophyta; Magnoliopsida; Sapindales; Sapindaceae.